This 302-nucleotide ribosomal RNA is filed under the name uncultured bacterium. Its description in RNAcentral is "partial 16S ribosomal RNA". It matches the Rfam family "Bacterial small subunit ribosomal RNA", at positions 508 to 807 of the family's 1533-position model. The record is from RNAcentral.
GCAGUAGCCGCGGGAAUACGGAGGGAGCUAGCGUUGUUCGGAAUUACUGGGCGUAAAGCGCACGUAGGCGGCUUUGUAAGUUAGAGGUGAAAGCCUGGAGCUCAACUCCAGAACUGCCUUUAAGACUGCAUCGCUUGAAUCCAGGAGAGGUGAGUGGAAUUCCGAGUGUAGAGGUGAAAUUCGUAGAUAUUCGGAAGAACACCAGUGGCGAAGGCGGCUCACUGGACUGGUAUUGACGCUGAGGUGCGAAAGCGUGGGGAGCAAACAGGAUUAGAUACCCGGGUAGUCCCUGUCUCUUAUAC